Long non-coding RNA from Lucilia cuprina (Australian sheep blowfly), 522 nucleotides. RefSeq lists it as uncharacterized. The transcript is spliced from 4 exons. The record is from RefSeq and is a predicted model, not a curated record. NCBI's taxonomy places the organism in Eukaryota, Metazoa, Arthropoda, Insecta, Diptera, Calliphoridae.
UUUUUGUAAGACAAAUGAAACUUCUUUUAAACUAAAAAAAAGUUAUAAAAAAUGGUCAAUUGUUGUAAAUAAUACAAGUCAAUCAGUUUUACUGAAAAGAAAGUAAAAUUUUGAUAACAGUUUUACGCGGAAACCCAAAUUUUCAACUGAAGGAUUAACCAUUUACUUAAUGCACUUGAGGGUACUUACCGCUGAUCCAGGAGAGAUUUGGUCCAAUUCGUCCAUUAGCUUCAGACCAAUCUAUGUUAAAGUGUCCUGCUAUUAAUAUAUCACAAUUGUUUUCGCCAAUUUCUUCAAUAACAUCAUCAAAAAUAUCACAGAAUUCUGCCAGGAAAUAAAUCUGGCAUUUCUAAACGGCUGAUCCGAUCGGGAUAAAAUUUGGCUUGAGCGUAGCCAAGAAGUAUUCGAGUAUAAGUUUUGAAGAUGAACCCUGUAGAUGCCCCAGGGACGGCGCUGUGGCGGCUCAAGGUAUUAAUGAUGAAGUCCUGUCUUUCGAAAUUUCACCACUUCAUGCCAGAAUAC